UAGGGAAUCUUCCGCAAUGGACGCAAGUCUGACGGAGCAACGCCGCGUGAGUGAAGAAGGAUUUCGGUUCGUAAAACUCUGUUGUUAGAGAAGAACAGCGCAUAGAGUAACUGUUAUGCGUGUGACGGUAUCUAACCAGAAAGCCACGGCUAACUACGUGCCAGCAGCCGCGGUAAUACGUAGGUGGCAAGCGUUGUCCGGAUUUAUUGGGCGUAAAGCGAGCGCAGGCGGUCAAUUAAGUCUGAUGUGAAAGCCCCCGGCUCAACCGGGGAGGGUCAUUGGAAACUGGUUGACUUGAGUGCAGAAGAGUAGAGUGGAAUUCCAUGUGUAACGGUGAAAUGCGUAGAUAUAUGGAGGAACACCAGUGGCGAAGGCGACUCUCUGGUCUGUAACUGACGCUGAGGCUCGAAAGCGUGGGUAGCAAACAGG
Molecule: ribosomal RNA, 429 nt
Filed under: Bacteroidota bacterium
Lineage: Bacteria; Pseudomonadati; Bacteroidota
Description: Bacteroidetes bacterium partial 16S ribosomal RNA
Rfam family: Bacterial small subunit ribosomal RNA
Source: RNAcentral